Molecule: ribosomal RNA, 650 nt
Filed under: Serratia nevei
Lineage: Bacteria; Pseudomonadati; Pseudomonadota; Gammaproteobacteria; Enterobacterales; Yersiniaceae
Description: partial 23S ribosomal RNA
Rfam family: Bacterial large subunit ribosomal RNA
Source: RNAcentral
UGGCUUAGAAGCAGCCAUCAUUUAAAGAAAGCGUAAUAGCUCACUGGUCGAGUCGGCCUGCGCGGAAGAUGUAACGGGGCUAAACCAUGCACCGAAGCUGCGGCAGCGACGUUUAGGCGUUGUUGGGUAGGGGAGCGUUCUGUAAGCCGUUGAAGGUGGCCUGUGAGGGUUGCUGGAGGUAUCAGAAGUGCGAAUGCUGACAUAAGUAACGAUAAAGCGGGUGAAAAGCCCGCUCGCCGGAAGACCAAGGGUUCCUGUCCAACGUUAAUCGGGGCAGGGUGAGUCGACCCCUAAGGCGAGGCUGAAAAGCGUAGUCGAUGGGAAACAGGUUAAUAUUCCUGUACUUGGUGUUACUGCGAAGGGGGGACGGAGAAGGCUAGGCUAGCCGGGCGACGGUUGUCCCGGUUUAAGCGUGUAGGGGGUGUGACCUGGUAAAUCCGGUUGCAUAUCAACCCUGAGGCGUGAUGACGAUGCACUACGGUGCAGAAGUAGUUGAUGCCCUGCUUCCAGGAAAAGCCUCUAAGCUCUAGGUAACAUUAAAUCGUACCCCAAACCGACACAGGUGGUCAGGUAGAGAAUACCAAGGCGCUUGAGAGAACUCGGGUGAAGGAACUAGGCAAAAUGGUGCCGUAACUUCGGGAGAAGGCACG